AGGAGAACUUAAGGCCAUCUGUCUACCAGCUGAAGCUCAACAGAAGAUGGGUGUUGCAACAGGACAAUGACCCAAAGCAUAGAAGUAAAUCAACAACAGAAUGGCUUAAACAGAAGAAAAUACACCUUCUGAAGUGGCCCAGUCAGAGUCCUGACUUCAACCCGAUUGAGAUGCUGUGGCAUGACCUCAAGAAAACGAUUCACACCAGACAUCCCAAGAAUAUUGCUGAACUGAAACAGUUCUGUAAAGAGGAAUGGUCAAGAAUUACUCCUGACCAUUGUGCACGUCUGAUCUGCAACUACAGGAAA
RNAcentral lists this long non-coding RNA (308 nucleotides) under Pelobates cultripes (western spadefoot toad). Lineage: Eukaryota; Metazoa; Chordata; Amphibia; Anura; Pelobatidae. The record is from RNAcentral.